Molecule: ribosomal RNA, 380 nt
Filed under: uncultured eukaryote
Lineage: Eukaryota
Description: partial 18S ribosomal RNA
Rfam family: Eukaryotic small subunit ribosomal RNA
Source: RNAcentral
CAAUAGCGUAUAUUAAAGUUGUUGCGGUUAAAAAGCUCGUAGUUGGAUUUCUGCUGAGAACGACCGGUCCGCCCUUUGGGUGUGUAUCUGGCUCUUUCUUGGCAUCUUCUUGGUGAACGUUGCUGCACUUGACUGUGUGGAGCGCUACCCAGGACUUUUACUUUGGGGAAAUUAGAGUGUUUCAAGCAGGCAUACGCCUUGAAUACAUUAGCAUGGAAUAAUAAGAUAGGACCUCGGUUCUAUUUUGUUGGUUUCUAGAGCUGAGGUAAUGAUUAAUAGGGAUAGUUGGGGGCAUUCGUAUUUAACUGUCAGAGGUGAAAUUCUUGGAUUUGUUAAAGACGGACUACUGCGAAANCANNNGCCAAGGAUGUUUUCAUNGA